RNAcentral lists this ribosomal RNA (434 nucleotides) under uncultured Clostridium sp. Its description in RNAcentral is "partial 16S ribosomal RNA". It matches the Rfam family "Bacterial small subunit ribosomal RNA", at positions 341 to 792 of the family's 1533-position model. Lineage: Bacteria; Bacillati; Bacillota; Clostridia; Eubacteriales; Clostridiaceae. The record is from RNAcentral. RNAcentral also lists the same sequence under 1 other name.
ACGGGAGGCAGCAGUGGGGAAUAUUGCACAAUGGGGGAAACCCUGAUGCAGCAACGCCGCGUGAAGGAUGAAGGUUUUCGGAUCGUAAACUUAUGUCUUCAGGGACGAUAAUGACGGUACCUGAGGAGGAAGCCACGGCUAACUACGUGCCAGCAGCCGCGGUAAUACGUAGGUGGCAAGCGUUAUCCGGAUUUACUGGGUGUAAAGGGCGUGUAGGCGGGUUUCUAAGUUAGAUGUGAAAUACCUCGGCUCAACCGAGGAACUGCAUUUAAAACUGGAAGUCUUGAGUGCCGGAGAGGAAAGCGGAAUUCCUAGUGUAGCGGUGAAAUGCGUAGAUAUUAGGAGGAACACCAGUGGCGAAGGCGGCUUUCUGGACGGUAACUGACGCUGAGGCGCGAAAGCGUGGGGAGCAAACAGGAUUAGAUACCCUGGUA